CAAUUACGUAAAAAGUUAGAGGGGGUGGAAGGGACUUUUGGAUCACCCUGUGAUAUGCGUAAGAUUUCUACCGCUCAUUAGUUGCGAUAAAUCCACUCUGCACGGUUUUUCUGGUUCUUCUACUCCGAUUUAAAGGGACGGUGAUAAAGGCCGGUUCAAUUUCUUGCCAAGAGAUAUCCUCGAAAGUAACACAAGUUUCCAAUCAUAAAAACAUGCCCUGCUCUUCAGUUUCCAGCUGGACGCGCUGGUGCCAAUCACGCAGUAUUAUUCUUGUAAAAUGUAGAUUUAGAGCACUGUUGUUUCUAUGUAUGGAAUUAGUAUGAUGAUUACCUAAUAAAAAGAGUAUAUAGAAGGCUCCGAUUUCCGUAGGCCACUGUAGGAAUACAGAAGCAUCUGUUAUUUCAUAAGUUUGUAAAAAGUUCCCUGCCUCUACAUUUUUAUAGUGAUAUGAAACCUAAAACUUAUUAAACAUCGAUGUAAGUAAAUAUUUUUCUGAAUUUUUCCCGAAAUAUAAUAAACCCGAAAGAAGUAAGUUUUUUCGAACUUGAUAUACAAAAGAUAGAGACGCCAGAGAAGGGGCAGCGGAAACGGAGGACAGCGGGGGCGGGUUGGAGGGGUGAAAGGAAGGGAGGAAGAUAGGGGAGAACAUAUUAUCUAGGGAGACCAGUGGCUGCAAAUUUCUUUCAAGUUUACACAUACUAAUAAAUACACAUUGACAGUAUAUUUUUGUUCUUAAUCCUCCAAAACAUCCAAAUUUAAGUAAUUCAUUAAGUCAUCGUUUGUUGUAUUUUAUAUCAUGAUUUUCAAAUUACGCCACUAUUGUCCUUUACCCAAGAAAGCAGAAAAUAAAAUGAUGAAAUUCUUCACUUA
Molecule: non-coding RNA, 870 nt
Organism: Bemisia tabaci
Lineage: Eukaryota; Metazoa; Arthropoda; Insecta; Hemiptera; Aleyrodidae
Source: RefSeq, a predicted model, not a curated record